CUGAUGGUGCCUCCAAAUCUGCAGCUUCCAAGUCCUCUUCUUCCAAGAAGGCUGCACCAAAGGAAUCCAGGAAGAAGGGAAAAGGUGGCAAAUCAGGGAAGAACUGAUCACAGAACCUUGCACACGAUGUGUGAAAGCAGCAGUUAAAUUGAAGACAAUUAGUUGUUUUAUGCACUUAUUUUAAGGUUUUUUUUUUUGAACUCGAAAAAUGUGUGACCAUAUGCAAAUGUAAGUCAGCUUCCUGGACUUGCUCUAUUGAAAUAAAAUAUUGCAUUUGAAACUCAUGGUUCUGAGCACGCAGGGACCGUCAUGCUAAUACACACACACACAUAUUCUUAUUAUAGCAUAUGGAUUCUAUGCAAUAAUUUUUCUUUCAUUGUUCAUUAUCAUUAUUAUCAUUGUUGUUUCUUGUGAAUAUAAAUCCAUAAAAUGUUUUCAAACAAUUAUUUAUUUCUUAUUGGUUACAAAUGAUGAUCACAGCUAUUGCAAUUCGAAUUUUUCAGCUGCACUAAUCAAGCACUGAUAACUUCAAUUUGCAAGAUCUUGAAAUCUUUUUCCUUGUUUGGCCAUUAUCAUAACUUUAAUUUACACUGUACUAGUUAGAUAUUUAGAUUAGAAUCCUAUCAUUCUGCAGAAAUCUAAUUUUAAAGUUUUUCCCUUGUUGUUAAGUAAAAUAAAAUGUAGAGGGAAAAAAAAACAAUGCCUAUUGCAUUCCCUUUGCAUUUACUCUGUUGCCAACAAUUAAUGAAAAUAUUACUUAAUUAGACUUGAAUCUCAACUUGUCAACCAAUUAUUUCUCGGACAUAUUGAAAACUUCUAAAGGACAUGGAAGCUGGGAAUGAAUAUUUUUCAUUUAGGAAGACAUAUAUUUAUAAUUUUUUGAUAAAUGAGAAAUUUUAUUAUAAUUAGGGAAAGAAUCAAUAGAAAACCAUAAGAUCAAACCCAACCCAAUUAUAGAAAUCCAAGCAAAUGAUCAAAGGGGUGGUAUUGAAAAAUUAAAUUGCUACAAGGGAGUGGGAUAUAAACUAUUUACCAAAAGGGGUGAAAAUUGAUGACUUUGCAGAGAAAAAAAGAGAGAGAGACUCAACUAUAACUAACGACUAGGGGGAUAAAAUGAAAUUAAAUUAAUUUAUGUGAAUUGAAAUAGAAAAACAAUAUAAUUCAAAACAUAGGACGCUGCCCAGGGUAACGACCCCAUUACCUCUCUGAAUAUAUUCUCGUCUAACGUGAAAUUAUAUUAAAAACAAAAAAAAAUACACCCAGCAACAAGAUGCUACCAUAGGUUGCAACCAAGACAUCACAUCUUAUCGAUUCCACUUUAUCAUCUGGUAUGAAGUUAAUAAAGUGAAAAUUAAAAAAAAAAUAAAAAAAGCUACCCUGAAGCUUGGCACUACUAUAGGUAGCGACUAAAGAUGCGUGUGAUGGUCUUGUCUGGUGUGAAAAUUCAC
This 1448-nucleotide unclassified non-coding RNA is filed under the name Hevea brasiliensis (rubber tree). The record is from RNAcentral. Lineage: Eukaryota; Viridiplantae; Streptophyta; Magnoliopsida; Malpighiales; Euphorbiaceae.